AAAUUUCAAAGGCAAACCCGCCGAAAGACGGGGACGCAAAGCCACGGGUCUAAGGUCUUCUGACUAUGACAGCCGGUUGCCGCA
RNAcentral lists this non-coding RNA (84 nucleotides) under Eubacteriaceae bacterium CHKCI004. Its description in RNAcentral is "c-di-GMP-I riboswitch aptamer". It matches the Rfam family "c-di-GMP-I riboswitch aptamer". Rfam says of the family: GEMM was predicted in a large-scale screen for bacterial structured RNA regulatory elements. Genes associated with GEMM are involved in a diverse array of functions, including chemotaxis regulation, signal transduction, secretion and chitin. RNAcentral also lists the same sequence under 1 other name. The record is from Rfam by way of RNAcentral. Lineage: Bacteria; Bacillati; Bacillota; Clostridia; Eubacteriales; Eubacteriaceae.